Molecule: ribosomal RNA, 571 nt
Filed under: Mycobacterium riyadhense
Lineage: Bacteria; Bacillati; Actinomycetota; Actinomycetes; Mycobacteriales; Mycobacteriaceae
Description: bacterial SSU rRNA
Rfam family: Bacterial small subunit ribosomal RNA
Source: RNAcentral
UUCGGGGGUACUCGAGUGGCGAACGGGUGAGUAACACGUGGGUAAUCUGCCCUGCACUUCGGGAUAAGCCUGGGAAACUGGGUCUAAUACCGGAUAGAACCUAGAGGCGCAUGCCUUGUGGUGGAAAGCUUUUGCGGUGUGGGAUGGGCCCGCGGCCUAUCAGCUUGUUGGUGGGGUGACGGCCUACCAAGGCGACGACGGGUAGCCGGCCUGAGAGGGUGUCCGGCCACACUGGGACUGAGAUACGGCCCAGACUCCUACGGGAGGCAGCAGUGGGGAAUAUUGCACAAUGGGCGCAAGCCUGAUGCAGCGACGCCGCGUGGGGGAUGACGGCCUUCGGGUUGUAAACCUCUUUCACCAUCGACGAAGGUCCGGGUUUUCUCGGAUUGACGGUAGGUGGAGAAGAAGCACCGGCCAACUACGUGCCAGCAGCCGCGGUAAUACGUAGGGUGCGAGCGUUGUCCGGAAUUACUGGGCGUAAAGAGCUCGUAGGUGGUUUGUCGCGUUGUUCGUGAAAUCUCACGGCUUAACUGUGAGCGUGCGGGCGAUACGGGCAGACUGGAGUACUGCA